Molecule: non-coding RNA, 414 nt
Organism: Vicia faba (fava bean)
Lineage: Eukaryota; Viridiplantae; Streptophyta; Magnoliopsida; Fabales; Fabaceae
Source: the annotation of a GenBank genome assembly
ACUUUUUUUUAUUUUAUACAAAAAUCACUCAAGAGACAAAGAAAAGCUCUCAAAGAAGCAAGUUCUGUCAAGAUCCCUUUCCUUCUUUCUUCCUCCCUCCUCGUCAAAAGACCUCUCGCCGGAGCAAUCGCCGCCGGCCAAGCCUCCUACUGGUCUCCCUCUCCCCUUGCUCGGAUACCAUGGUCCACCCUUCCCGCCGGUCUUCUCAAUCGAACAUGCUCCGUCUUGCUCUUUCGCGCCGAAACUCCCUUCGACUUCUACCUCCGUCUCCACGUGAAAAUUCCUCUAUGGGUAGCUCCUCAUUUCGAUCGUUGCUUCCUUCUCCGAUUCAAUUGCUUCGCAUUAUUUUUGGUAACUUCUUUAAUCUUGCUUGUGUUAAUUAUUGUGUUGAGAUUUAAUUGUGAAUUCACUUGA